UACGAGGGGGGCAAAUGUUGUUCGGAAUCACUGGGCGUAAAGGGAACGUAGGCGGGUUUUUAAGUCAGGUGUUUAAUCCCGGGGCCCAACCCCGGACAGGCACUUGAAACUGGGAAUCUUGAAUAGUGGAGAGGUCAGUGGAAUUGGGGGUGUAGCGGUGGAAUGCGUAGAGAUCCCCAAGAACACCCGUUGCGAAGGCGGCUGACUGGACACAUAUUGACGCUGAGGCUCGAAAGCAUGGGGAGCAAACAGG
This 253-nucleotide ribosomal RNA is filed under the name uncultured bacterium. Its description in RNAcentral is "partial 16S ribosomal RNA". It matches the Rfam family "Bacterial small subunit ribosomal RNA", at positions 524 to 776 of the family's 1533-position model. The record is from RNAcentral.